RNAcentral lists this ribosomal RNA (304 nucleotides) under Terrimonas ferruginea. RNAcentral describes it as "partial 23S ribosomal RNA". It matches the Rfam family "Bacterial large subunit ribosomal RNA", at positions 1 to 296 of the family's 2925-position model. Lineage: Bacteria; Pseudomonadati; Bacteroidota; Chitinophagia; Chitinophagales; Chitinophagaceae. The record is from RNAcentral.
UAUCAAUUUUCUAAGAGCAGACGGUGGAUGCCUUGGCAUCUGGAGCCGAAGAAGGACGUAUAAAUCUGCGAUAAGCCUCGGGGAGCUGAUAAUAGAGCUUUGAUCCGAGGAUUUCCGAAUGGGGAAACCCCGCCAGGCGUUGCAAGACGACCUGGUGACUCCCGCCUGAAUAUAUAGGGCGGGUAGAGGGAACGUGGGGAAGUGAAACAUCUCAGUACCCACAGGAAGAGAAAACAACCGUGAUUCCGUUAGUAGUGGCGAGCGAAACCGGAAGAGGCCAAACCGAUCAUGUGUGAUAGCCGGC